This 253-nucleotide ribosomal RNA is filed under the name uncultured bacterium. RNAcentral's name for it is "partial 16S ribosomal RNA". It matches the Rfam family "Bacterial small subunit ribosomal RNA", at positions 524 to 776 of the family's 1533-position model. The record is from RNAcentral.
UACGUAGGGUGCGAGCGUUAAUCGGAAUUACUGGGCGUAAAGCGUGCGCAGGCGGUUUUGUAAGUCAGGUGUGAAAUCCCCGGGCUCAACCUGGGAAUGGCAUUUGGGACUGCAAGGCUGGAGUGUGGCAGAGGAGACUGGAAUUCCUGGUGUAGCAGUGAAAUGCGUAGAUAUCAGGAGGAAGACCGAUGGCGAAGGCAGGUCUCUGGGCUGACACUGACGCUCAUGCACGAAAGCGUGGGGAGCAAACAGG